GGAGCAGUGAAGAGUCCACUAAAAAACAAAGACAGUACUGACAACUGUGAUGCAGGGAGAAGUGCAGACUAAAAGAGGUCAAGCAAAAUCUAGAAGAUAAUCAACCAAGAGUCAAGAAAUAAUCCCCAGUGGAAAAGACUAUUUUUUGAAGGCGAGCCAUUUCUUUGAGCAAUUUAUGAAGCUGGAGGGAAGCACCACCACAAUGAAUGGCCAUUAAGCCUGGCGUCCCCUAGGGCACCUUGGAAGAUAAAGGAGCUGCCUGGCUCCCUGACUUGCAACUUUCAGAACUCCAGAAAAAUGGAGUGGAUGGCUUUCUUCCAUAUGGAAGCCUGGGGGGCGUUUCAGUGUCUGCAGAGAAUUUAAUGUAGGGAGAGUAAUUAGUGCUGACACCAGAUGAGAUCCAAUAAAAAGAUGAAUGUCCCGAUUCAGAAAUGACAAUAAAAAUGAAAGUAAGGAAGGGGGGUGGAAGUUAAACAAAACAAAACAACCAGCCAGCCUGAGUUUACCUCUGUAUCCUGAGCUGGAUCUAUCAGGCACAAUCUGCAGCAGUUUCCAGGGCAUCCAUUUCCUGCCAUAAACAACAAUGACAUUUUCCUUCCCAGAUGUUGAAAAUGGCUAAAUAACCUCCACUUUCCACUGCAGCUCUGACAGCUUAAGUUAUCUGAAAUAGCACCAGCGCUGGAAGAACUACAGGCCCAGCCAGUCACCUGGAUGCCGCCAGCAGGAGGGAAACAAACCGCACUGGGCGCGGGCGCAGAAAUUCAGUGGCGCUAAUAACCUUGAUCUGGAUGACAGGAACGCGCUGGGGCUGAGACUGACACGUGGGACGCGCGCAGCCACGCCCGCACGCAGACGCAUGCAUGCACUCAGGCCCGCAGACGCACGCACGCACACACGCACACACGCACGCAUCCACCACGCACGUACUCCCUCCCAGCCGUAUCCCACCUCGCUCCUGACGUGCUCUAAACCAGCAAGCGCUUCCUCUCGACGCCAGACGAGAACGGGGAUUGGAACCCAGUUGUAUUUUCCAUGGAAAACUGCCCGCCGCUGUUCAUUUCUUCUGGAAAAUCACCGAAUGUGCGAACAGAGAAGGCAGAGGCCUUCCAGUCCACCAGCUUGGGUUACCUGUCAGGAAAGGACGACCAGGACCAGACGGCGUGGUUGAACCCAGGCAAGGAGUUUUUUAUUAUUAUUAUUUCUAACAAAAUGUGUGAGGGAAGAGGGAGUUGUGUGGUGCCAUGGUGGUGACCUUCGGCAGCAUUAGCCUAUUACAGACUUGUCCCUCUGGUGGCCUUCCGAGACGCACAACACAGCGG
This 1319-nucleotide long non-coding RNA is filed under the name Mustela putorius furo (domestic ferret). RNAcentral describes it as "lncRNA (ENSMPUG00000024557.1)". The record is from RNAcentral. Lineage: Eukaryota; Metazoa; Chordata; Mammalia; Carnivora; Mustelidae.